GGGANUCUUCGGAUUCUAGUGGCGGACGGGUGAGUAACGCGUAAGAAUCUAACUUCAGGACGGGGACAACAGUUGGAAACGACUGCUAAUACCCGAUGUGCCGCAAGGUGAAACCUAAUUGGCCUGAAGAAGAGCUUGCGUCUGAUUAGCUAGUUGGUGGGGUAAGAGCCUACCAAGGCGACGAUCAGUAGCUAGUCUGAGAGGAUGAGCAGCCACACUGGGACUGAGACACGGCCCAGACUCCUACGGGAGGCAGCAGCGGGGAAUUUUCCGCAAUGGGCGAAAGCCUGACGGAGCAACGCCGCGUGAGGGAGGAAGGUCUUUGGAUUGUAAACCUCUUUUCUCAAGGAAGAAGUUCUGACGGUACUUGAGGAAUCAGCCUCGGCUAACUCCGUGCCAGCAGCCGCGGUAAUACGGGGGAGGCAAGCGUUAUCCGGAAUUAUUGGGCGUAAAGCGUCCGCAGGUGGUCAGCCAAGUCUGCCGUCAAAUCAGGUUGCUUAACGACCUAAAGGCGGUGGAAACUGGCAGACUAGAGAGCAGUAGGGGUAGCAGGAAUUCCCAGUGUAGCGGUGAAAUGCGUAGAGAUUGGGAAGAACAUCGGUGGCGAAAGCGUGCUACUGGGCUGUAUCUGACACUCAGGGACGAAAGCUAGGGGAGCGAAAGGGAUUAGAUACCCCUGUAGUCCUAGCCGUAAACGAUGGAUACUAGGCGUGGCUUGUAUCGACCCGAGCCGUGCCGAAGCUAACGCGUUAAGUAUCCCGCCUGGGGAGUACGCACGCAAGUGUGAAACUCAAAGGAAUUGACGGGGGCCCGCACAAGCGGUNNNUAUGUGGUUUAAUUCGAUGCAACGCGAAG
Molecule: ribosomal RNA, 855 nt
Filed under: uncultured bacterium
Lineage: Bacteria
Description: bacterial SSU rRNA
Rfam family: Bacterial small subunit ribosomal RNA
Source: RNAcentral